GACGAACGCUGGCGGCGUGCCUAAUACAUGCAAGUCGAGCGAAGCGGCGGAUGGGUGAGUAACGCGUGGGGAACCUGCCCUUAAGGCUGGGAUAACAUUUGGCAACAGAUGCUAAUACCGGCAACUUAAGGAUGGACCUGCCAUGCAUUAGCUAGUUGGUAAGGUAACGUCUUACCAAGGCGAUGGUGCAUAGCCGAGGUGAGAGACGGAUCGGCCACAUUGGGACGGAGACACGGCCCAAACUCCUACGGGAGGCAGCAGUAGGGAAUCUUCCACAAUGGACGAAAGUCUGAUGGAGCAACGCCGCGUGAGUGAAGAAGGUUUUCGGAUCGUAAAGCUCUGUUGUUGGUGAAGCGGUAAUCAACCAGAAAGUCACGGCUAACUCCGUGCCAGCAGCCGCGGUAAUUC
RNAcentral lists this ribosomal RNA (408 nucleotides) under uncultured bacterium. RNAcentral describes it as "partial 16S ribosomal RNA". It matches the Rfam family "Bacterial small subunit ribosomal RNA", at positions 28 to 526 of the family's 1533-position model. The record is from RNAcentral.